GUUUCCACGCAAUUUUCAGCGUACGCUCUAUGAAACUAUUGAAGUUGCUACGUCGCGAACGAAUCGUUGGAGAAUGAAACGAAGGGUUGCUACGCACCUGAGUUGUGUAAAUGCUCGUUAUUCGAAUUCAAGGGUGAAUCGUGCCUGGAGGGUGGAGCAGGACUUCCUCGGCUCGCUGGGAGAUCGUAAAGGUGAGCGUGUACUAAUUGCUGAACGAAGAAAAAAUUUGGGUAAUUAGCAUUGAAUCGGAGCUCUACCUUUUGCGUCUUUGUGCGGUCGGAAUAAGAAUUACCUACAUACGCAUGGAAUUCUGGAUAUGUGAGAAAUCUUUGGAU
RNAcentral lists this unclassified non-coding RNA (335 nucleotides) under Bombus terrestris (buff-tailed bumblebee). RNAcentral describes it as "misc RNA ENSBTSG00005035333.1". The record is from RNAcentral. Lineage: Eukaryota; Metazoa; Arthropoda; Insecta; Hymenoptera; Apidae.